Molecule: long non-coding RNA, 374 nt
Organism: Phalaenopsis equestris
Lineage: Eukaryota; Viridiplantae; Streptophyta; Magnoliopsida; Asparagales; Orchidaceae
Exons: 3
Source: RefSeq, a predicted model, not a curated record
CACGCGCUCCACUUCGCGUAUUGUCGGAUCGGUACGUCGUCUACGAAGAAGCUGCUUGUUGGAUUCAGAGCAUGGACACAAGAUUCCAAAACAAUAGUGCUCGUACAGACUCAGACAUGUUGUCGCAUCUGAUGCUUUCAAGCUAUCCUAAACAGAAAAGGCGCAAGAUUUCAGCCCCAAGACUACUUGACGGACGAACCUGACACAAUUUAUUGCACAUAUCUGCCUCAUGUACCUCUUGCUAUAAGUAAUCAACAGCGACAGCAAUAAAACGCCAGGAGCAAUUAAAAGAAUUGCAUAGUUGUGGAAGGCAACCGUCGGAUCAAACCAUAGAUGAAACUUCAUCUCCCUUCCUAUGAUCCUCCCAUCGCCGC